RNAcentral lists this transfer RNA (69 nucleotides) under Athalia icar. Its description in RNAcentral is "tRNA-Tyr". Lineage: Eukaryota; Metazoa; Arthropoda; Insecta; Hymenoptera; Athaliidae. The record is from RNAcentral.
AAUAAAAUGGCUGAAGUUUAGGCGAUAAAUUGUAAAUUUAUUUAUAGAAUAAUAAUAUUCUUUUUAUUA